Molecule: non-coding RNA, 75 nt
Organism: Cynocephalus volans (Philippine flying lemur)
Lineage: Eukaryota; Metazoa; Chordata; Mammalia; Dermoptera; Cynocephalidae
Source: the annotation of a RefSeq genome assembly
GACCAGUUAGCUCAGUUGGUUAGAGCAUGGUGCUGGGAACACCAAGGUCAAGGGUUCAGAUCCCCUUACUGACCA